UUAUGCAGUGAGGGUGCCUUGAACAGCUCAAAAACAGCAUCUACACCAGAAAAACAACGUGAGAGGAUAGCACAAUGGCUAAGAACUUUGUCAGGAAGACAAACAAGAGCCAGACUUCUCCAGAUGUAAAGCUCAGAGCAGUCAGAGAGGUGAAAAUAAAUAAUAUUGUUAUAUAAGGACAAAAAACUUUUAGGAAAGAUUUGUUUCUGUUUCUGUUCUCUUGGUGCAGGAUGUGUGUUAGGUUGUUGUAUUUCAAUUAAACUAAUCAUUUUAAAUAUUUUUUAAGACUAUGUCUACAUUUCGUAUUUUUCUCCAUUACAAUAACACAGGGACUACCAACCCACAAUGGAUGGUUGUCACAAGUGCAUAGGACAUAUUAGAGGGCCCAUAUCUUUUUAACAGAAUCAGCUGAAGAAGAGUAAGACCACUCUAUUUCUACCUGACACUUUAGGCUUCCAUUACAAAUUAAAACGGAAUUUAUUCAGUAUACGGUUUAUGAGGAAUUAAAAGUAAAGUAAAAAGUGUGACUACCAACCCCUUUCUCCCCUACACCCCAUUGACUGUGUGAAAGAUGGAUGUGAUGAUGACAGUUCCCCAAAAGUGAAGCCAAAACAUCCCGCUCGCCCCCUGGUGGCUGGCUGUAGUACAGGUCAGAGGUCAUUUGUCAUUUGCCCGCAAUGAAUGUGUCUGAUUUUUCUCUCUUUUCAUUAUCAACAGUGAUACAAGACAUGAUGCAGUAUUCAGAUCAAAGAUCAAUAAAAUUCUGUUCCCUUAGAAGGUGGACGGAUACAGAGACAGAAAGUUUUGAUAGCACUAAACCGGAUUGUGGCUACUCCAGCAACAGCUCUAGUCAAAGGUUUGUUUACACAGUCUGUGAUCUCAGUAGAAAAUGGCAGAAUGUGAAUUACAGGGAGACGACCCAGCUGGUUCAUCUUUGCUAAUGGAUAUACUGUAACAGCAUGUCACUGUGCUAAGCUAGACUAAACACCUGACCAGUUGUUUUCAUUAUUGAAAAUAAAUUAUGCCUGAAAUACAAAACAAUAUCAUACUAGUCAACAUGGCUGCAGGUAUUAGCAUCACAGUCUCACUCCUAACUGAAGAGAAGAAUAUGGGUUUUGGUUUAGGUGCUCCUUGAAAGUUCAGGAAUCUUGUCUGACAUAUGAUGCAGCCAUAACAGCUCAUUACAUGUUAAAAAAAAAAAAAUCUCUCACAAAUGAGGCACAAUGCAUAAAAAGGUAGCUCCCAACCUGAAGCUGCACAUCUGAUACAGCAGUACUUGGAUUUUACUAUGCAUGUCUUUUUUUAAAGGGGAAAUUUUCUUCAUUUAUAAUAUUCAUUACAUCACACUUCAUUUUUAGUCAUUUAUUUCUUGCUGUUUUACAAAGUUACAUAUAAUAUAGCGUAUUUUAAUGUUUUUAAAUGUCUUUGAUCAGAUAUCUGAUGAUUGGAGAUGAAUUUCCAAUAAAGUUGUUUGAUUUUGAUUUAAGGGGAAGUCUAAGCAAAUCAGCACACCAAAGUUAUAUCACGCAAAGCAAUAUAUAGUGGGGUCAUUAACAAUGAAUAAUAAUAAGUCUGCUUAAAAACAGUGAUAUAAUUUCUGAUGAGUAAACUGAAAAUGCUGCCUAAACUGAUAUUGUGUGAUAUUAGUACUAUUAGUUUGUCAUCACGUAGAUUGUUGCAGACUAUUAAAGACUGCGUUGAGAGCAUGCAAGUAAAUGAUUAGUUAAAUGAUUCAUUACCAUAUUUUAAAGAAAAAGGAAACCAUUGAGGAUGCUCAAUGGUUUGUCGGGCAUAUAUUAAUCUUGUUUUUCUCUUUAAAGUGAUAGUGAC
Molecule: long non-coding RNA, 1830 nt
Organism: Scomber japonicus (chub mackerel)
Lineage: Eukaryota; Metazoa; Chordata; Actinopteri; Scombriformes; Scombridae
Exons: 3
Source: RefSeq, a predicted model, not a curated record